ACGAACGCUUGCGGCAUGCCUAACACAUGCAAGUCGAACGAGACCUUCGGGUCUAGUGGCGCACGGGUGCGUAACGCGUGGGAACCUGCCCUUAGGUUCGGAAUAACUCCCCGCAAGGGGUGCUAAUACCGGAUAAUGUCUUCGGACCAAAGAUUUAUCGCCUUUGGAUGGGCCCGCGUUGGAUUAGCUAGUUGGUAGGGUAAAAGCCUACCAAGGCGACGAUCCAUAGCUGGUCUGAGAGGAUGAUCAGCCACACUGGGGCUGAGACACGGCCCAGACUCCUACGGGAGGCAGCAGUGGGGAAUAUUGGACAAUGGGCGAAAGCCUGAUCCAGCAAUGCCGCGUGAGUGAUGAAGGCCUUAGGGUUGUAAAGCUCUUUUACCCGGGAUGAUAAUGACAGUACCGGGAGAAUAAGCGCCGGCUAACUCCGUG
This 432-nucleotide ribosomal RNA is filed under the name uncultured bacterium. RNAcentral describes it as "partial 16S ribosomal RNA". It matches the Rfam family "Bacterial small subunit ribosomal RNA", at positions 29 to 507 of the family's 1533-position model. The record is from RNAcentral.